This 200-nucleotide unclassified non-coding RNA is filed under the name Lepiota sp. Its description in RNAcentral is "partial internal transcribed spacer 2". The record is from RNAcentral. Lineage: Eukaryota; Fungi; Basidiomycota; Agaricomycetes; Agaricales; Agaricaceae.
UUAAGUUCAGCGGGUAGUCCUACCUGAUUUGAGGUCAAAUAUUCAAAAGUUGUCCUGAAAGGACGAUUAGAAGCUGAACAAACAGAGAGCAGCCUUUGUCUUGGGCGUAGAUAAUUAUCACACCGGUGACUGACCGCAAACGGUUCCGCUAAUGCAUUUCAGGGGAGCUGGCCUCAGUAAUAGAAGCCCGCAGGAAUACC